Molecule: long non-coding RNA, 1253 nt
Organism: Gavialis gangeticus (Gharial)
Lineage: Eukaryota; Metazoa; Chordata; Crocodylia; Gavialidae
Exons: 2
Source: RefSeq, a predicted model, not a curated record
CCACUAAAAUGGGUUUGUCAAGAAUAAAACUUGUCAAACCAAUCUGAUUUCAUUCUUUGGCAGGCUGUGUGGCCUUAGUGGAUAGCUGGAAGCAGUAGAUGUGAUCCAUCCUAACUUCAGUAAAUCUUUAGACACUGUCCCACAUGACGUUCAAAUAAGCAAGUUAAGAAAACACUGUCUGCAUAGGAGAAUGCAGCUGGUUUGAAAAAUUGCUCUGUGGUUAAUUCCUACACUGGGAGAGUAUUUCCAACUGGAGAAAGAGGUGUUAAUGUCUAGAAAAUCUGGUAUUCGUAGGUUAUUUCCUUCUGAGGCAUAUGUAAGUAAAACUACAAGACAAAAAGAUUGGACAAUAUUACAGGAUCCCCUGAGGUCUCCAAUGGCAAACCUUUAUGGGCAGGGGUAUCACAUUUAAUAAUCCAUGAAGAAUGGCACACACCUACCGCACUUACAUAGAUGAGUAAAAUUACAUCAUGAAUUUAGUUUUUUCAAGACAUCAGGCUGCUUGCAUUUGAGACUUGUAACUGAUGCUCCCUUUCUCUUUUACAGGUUUGGGCAAAACUGCACCUGAUCCCACAGCCACCAUCAGUUAUGAGGGUGUAGAAGUUUCUUUGGGGAAUGGAAUGUCAACAGGAAUUAAUGAUACUUUUCUUCUGUAUAAUGAAUAUAUUGUCUACAGUGUUGCUCAGGUAAAUCUGAAGUACCUGCUGAAACCGAAAUUCAGCUACAAGACAUCACUCUAGUGAACAAUAUAUACAAGCCCUGUUCUCGAGUUAUACCGUGGUUAUGCUAUAGCGUGGACUUUUGACAUGCUUAAGCAUUGACUGACCUUAUCAAGAUAUCAAAGAACUAAGUUGCAGAAGUUAUUAAAUUUGAAUUUAGUAAAUCACUUUAGUGAAUGUUUUUUAUAUAUAUAAAUGUGUGGCUACACAUGGAACUGAAUUCGGAAGAGAAUGAAUAUCUGGAUCUGUCUUAUUCCGCUUCUAGUUUUUCAGUUGUCUAGUGUUUCUUUUAAUUCGCAGUAGACUACAAAAUCAGGCAGAAGUGUUUUUAGCCAAGCAGAAGUGGGGUAGGAGAAAGAAAUUACAGAUGUUUAUAAACAUUUGCCCUGUUAAAAUGACUCAUCACCAUCUUGUUUAAAAUAUUCUUUUCCAGUUUUGAUUUUGAAUAAAUGUUAAAUGUGCAUUUAUUUUGAGGUAAAAAUAAAAGCUAAUUUCAUACUAACAACUUUAUGUUGCAAAACUUUUGAAUUGCUA